GACGAACGCUGGCGGCGUGCUUAACACAUGCAAGUCGAACGGAAAGGCCCUGCUUGCAGGGUACUCGAGUGGCGAACGGGUGAGUAACACGUGGGUGAUCUGCCCUGCACUUCGGGGUAAGCCUGGGAAACUGGGUCUAAUACCGGAUAGGAGCCAUUUUUAGUGUGAUGGUUGGAAAGUUUUUUCGGUGUAGGAUGAGCUCGCGGCCUAUCAGCUUGUUGGUGGGGUAAUGGCCUACCAAGGCGGCGACGGGUAGCCGGCCUGAGAGGGUGGACGGCCACAUUGGGACUGAGAUACGGCCCAGACUCCUACGGGAGGCAGCAGUGGGGAAUAUUGCACAAUGGGCGCAAGCCUGAUGCAGCGACGCCGCGUGGGGGAUGACGGCCUUCGGGUUGUAAACUCCUUUCGCUAGGGACGAAGCUUUUUGUGACGGUACCUAGAUAAGAAGCACCGGCUAACUACGUG
This 465-nucleotide ribosomal RNA is filed under the name uncultured bacterium. RNAcentral describes it as "partial 16S ribosomal RNA". It matches the Rfam family "Bacterial small subunit ribosomal RNA", at positions 28 to 507 of the family's 1533-position model. The record is from RNAcentral.